AAGGACAUGAAUCUAUUGCAAUCAAGCUUGUGGCAAAUUUGAUAACAACACAGUAUUGUUCAGAUCGUGUCCUUGCUUGUCAUCUUUAACCCGGACAGUCUAUGGGAUACUUUGACAUUUCAUUCGAUCAUGUUUAUGGCCAGCCUCUGAUACUUGAUUACCUAGCAAGUAAGGCCAUAUCCUCUGAUGAAUUGGUGGUAGUUUCAUCUUGUGUUGGUGGCGUUGCAAGGGCUCCUGCCCUAAUCUUUCACCAUGCUUCAGAGCUGGCUUGUGUACCCCUAGGCCAGUUGCAUUAAAGCUUGCUGCUGAUAUGCCUCCUCUACUUACUGAGCAGCGUGUCCUUGAUGCCCUUUCCCCUUCUGUUCAUGGCGGAACCUGUGCCAUUCCUGGUGCUUCUGGCUGUGGGAAAAUUGUGAUCAGUCAGGCACUUUCCAAGGCUGUUGCGGGUUGAAGGAAUCAUGCCAGCUAAUGCAAUGUUUCUCUAGCGAGAUCCCGUACAAGUUCGACGGCCUAAACUCCUUUAGUUUCCAUCUGCUUACAGGAGACACCAUUCCCGCAAGUUUGUAAGAACACCACACCAUUUGUACUUCUGGCAUUGCUAAUCCUGCCUUAGCUCAGAUUAAACGUUUUGCUGAUGGUGACAUCUAUGUUCAGCUGCAAGAGAGUGUAAGACUCAAGGACAUGAAUCUAUUGCAGCCAAGCUUGUGGCAGAUUUGACUUAGCAGGUGAGUUAGAAGUCUGUAAUGGUGGACGACAUGAUUGACACAGUAGGGAACCCGGAGCAUCUCCAUCUUCAGCUUCAGUUUCCUCUACAACGUCAAGGUAUAGAAGAAGUCCAUCACAUAAGACUCCAGCUCCAAGAGGUGGUGGCGUUGCAAUGGCAAAGAACACUAAAAUGCUGCUACAAGUCCAAAACCUGUGAAAUAAUCUGGAAAUCUCCACGGUCAUAAACACAAACAAUGGUGAUGUAGCUGGACUUGAUGGAGCUAAACAAGCUUUACUGGAGAUGGUUAUAUUACCACCGGUAAAACGAAGAGAUUGGGAGACCAGUGAGAGGUCUGCUUCUCUUUAGGGCCACCUGGAAAUGCAAAAACAAUGCUUGCCAAGGCAGUAGCUUUUGACUCACAUGCCACGUUUUUCAAUGUCUCAGCAUCUUCUUUGACUUCAAAAUGGGUGGGUGAGGCUGAAAUGCUAGUUAAAACGCUGUUUCAAAUUGCAAUAUCCAGGCAACCUUCUGUGAUAUUUACGGAUCACAGAGAGAGUAUAAUGUCAACAAGGUCGAUCAGUUAGAAGGAAGCAAGCAGAAGGUUGAAUCAGAAUUCCUUAUCCAGUUUGAUGGCGUGACUUCUAAUCAUGAUGAUUUGGUUAUUGUCAUUGAUAUGAUUCCAACUAAUUUAGUCUUUAUCGAACCAAAUGUUCACUCUGAGUAUCAGUUGGGCUUAUAUAUUCUGUUUUUCCUUGCCCUAAUCAUUUACUUGGAUGUAAUGUUUAUUUAACAAGCCACUGGAGUUGUUGGAUGAUGCAGUGCUUAGGAGUUUGGUGAAGAGAAUGUAUAUAACAUUGCCGGAUUCGAACGCGAGAAAUUUUACUUUCUAAAACUAAACUGAAGAGGCAGCCUCACUCUUUAUCCUGUAGCGACAUUGAUAAAAUCGUCAGAGAAAC
Molecule: non-coding RNA, 1662 nt
Organism: Camelina sativa (false flax)
Lineage: Eukaryota; Viridiplantae; Streptophyta; Magnoliopsida; Brassicales; Brassicaceae
Source: RefSeq, a predicted model, not a curated record